Molecule: non-coding RNA, 1814 nt
Organism: Oryctolagus cuniculus (rabbit)
Lineage: Eukaryota; Metazoa; Chordata; Mammalia; Lagomorpha; Leporidae
Source: RefSeq, a predicted model, not a curated record
CUGAUAACAAGAUAGUUCAAGUGAUUUGCCAAAGACCAAGAACAUUCCACCACCAAUGCCUGAGUCCAGGUUUAUGGCUGACAACACUACGAGUAGCAAGUGACCAGGGAGGAGGAUAAUCCUAGUGCAAGGAAGCAACAAAAUAAAGCACUGAAAGAAUGUAGAAGUCACAAAGACAGUGACCUUCAUAAGCCGUGUGAAGUUUUAUAAUGCAUGACGGCUUUUUUAGCAACAAGCAGAAGGCAUGCCAAGAAACAGAGUGAGAAAUCAUGUGACUACAGAGAGAUGGAAAGACUAGUUACUUCAGACCCCAAUGGCUUCACUUUCAUGAGCCUCAGUUGCGCUCCUCCCUCUGUUGCACUGUGACAACUCCUCUUCAACAAAUUUCCUCCUUAUCUGAAUGGAUCUCGGUUCCUCACCACCAAGAAAGCCUCAUGAAAGAAGUUAUGGACAACACAGGUCUCCAUUCUGCCAAGUGAGCAUGAAGCAAGAAAGUGCUGUCUCUGCAGCAGAGAGGAACCCUCACCAGCCGCUCCAUCUGCCAGUUCCUUGAUCCUGAACGUCCCUGCCUCCAAACUGCUAUAGACACAUUCGUAUGAUGUGUAGAUAACCCAAUCUCAUUUUGUUACCACAGCAUGAACAAACAAGACCCUCAGUAAGAUGGUGAUAAAAGGAACUUAUUUGGGGAUGUGGUUUGUGAGUGGUUUCAUCUGAUGUUGGUCUGUGCAACUGUUCAUAUUUGACAGAACACCAUGGCCUGCAUAUGGAUGCAAGACCAGCUCUCAGUACCUUUCCUUCAGGGGAGAGCAUAUAAUAAAAAACAAAACUAAGAAUAGUUACUAUUUGCUCCUAAGAAAAUAUUUUGGAGUUUGCUGUUUCUUUAUCUCUCGAUGUUUGAAAAUAAAUGUUUGCUUCAAAAUAAUAAAAGAGCUACCAUGACUCCAACUUAACAAAAGUGCUCAGCACCUCUUUCCUUUCUUAUAGACUCCGGUUCUAUAUAGUGACAUAAACACUCAUCCUUUUGUAUCCUACAGUGUUCACAGGCAGGAAGACCAUUGUCUUAGAAAAACAAUGAAUACAAUAUAAUCUUCAUGAAAAAUGUAAAACACUGCAUCUCAUUGAGGAAUUGUGAAUGCAGUAGUGUGAUAUACUAAUAUUGCAGUAUCGUAGUGAUACUUUCUGUUUUAGUUUAUUUCUUAGUCAAUCUCUUCCUUCUGUAUAUGGGAAAAUUGGGAAACCUUUAUAGUGAAAUUGAUUUCAUUUCAUCACAGCAAAAUAUAAUUUAUAAUGCCUUUUGGCAUUUGCAUUAGUUGAAGACAAGUUCAUGAAUAUGUGCGAAUCAAGGCUUUAUUAAAUUACGCUCUAGAUUUUUAAAACUCUGUCAAAAUUCCAUGUUAGGUUGAUCUUUAAAUUUAAAGAAUUUAUUAAUAUAUUAGAUUCUCAGGGUCAUAGAAAAUGCAUUAUAAUUACUACAGCACAAUUAUCUUGCUAACAUGGUAUCAAUACAAAGAGAACAGGUUCAGUGUAGUUCAUAGCUACAAUCCUUGGAAUAUAAUGAUACUUCCUUUCUCCUUCCCUGCCUUCUUCUCACUCUCCAUACCCUUCCUUCUUUCUUUCCUCCUUCUUUCUAAUUUUCAAGAUAACAAAUUUUCCACCAAAUAAGGAGUUCAACAAGCAAAAAGUAAAAAGACCAUAGUUCAGUUAAAAUAUAAUAGGUAAGGGCUAUAAAUACAUAUAAUAAAUUUUAAAAUAAUCACAGAGCAUUAAAACUAUAGAAGUGUAUCAUCUUUAACCAUUGAUUUGACAAAGAUAUA